GUUGAUGCUUGCAAAAUAUAACUGAAAUAGAAUCAUCCGAUCUGCCCUUCUGAUGCAAGAUUGACUACAGUAUUUGUCUAUAGGGCACUUAGCAGAAGUUAUAUUUUCUACAGAUUUUGGUGUUCAUCUCUAGCACUGAGCUCAAGUUGCUUCUGACAAUGAUGUGCGUUACACUUCCAAGAUACGACCCUCACACACACACAUGCACACGCGUGCGCGCACACACACAGGUUCUUCAUCAUUUCGAAAUGAAACAGUCAGUUCCUGGAACAAUAGGACCAAUAUCAACAAUUUAGAAGGAAGCCAGCAUAUUAACUGAUACUCUAAGAUAGCGAAUGCAGAGAUACCAUUGGAAUGAAAACUGAACUCGGAGGCUAGGCGCGGUGCACAAAC
RNAcentral lists this long non-coding RNA (393 nucleotides) under Triticum aestivum (bread wheat). Its description in RNAcentral is "long non-coding RNA (TAES_LNC018116)". Lineage: Eukaryota; Viridiplantae; Streptophyta; Magnoliopsida; Poales; Poaceae. The record is from RNAcentral.